This 888-nucleotide ribosomal RNA is filed under the name uncultured bacterium. RNAcentral's name for it is "bacterial SSU rRNA". It matches the Rfam family "Bacterial small subunit ribosomal RNA", at positions 21 to 906 of the family's 1533-position model. The record is from RNAcentral.
GGCUCAGGAUGAACGCUAGCGGCAGGCUUAAUACAUGCAAGUCGUACGGGAUCCGAGGUAGCAAUACUUUGGUGAGAGUGGCGCACGGGUGCGUAACACGUAUGCAACCUACCUUUAACCGGGACACAACCUCGAGAAAUUGAGGCUAAUAUCCCAUAACACUGCGAAGUGGCAUCACUUUGCAGUUAAAACUCCGGUGGUUAUUGAUGGGCAUGCGCGACAUUAGCUAGUUGGUGAGGUAACGGCCCACCAAGGCUACGAUGUCUAGGGGUUCUGAGAGGAUUAUCCCCCACACUGGUACUGAGACACGGACCAGACUCCUACGGGAGGCAGCAGUAAGGAAUAUUGGUCAAUGGGCGCAAGCCUGAACCAGCCAUGCCGCGUGAAGGAUGACGGCCCUAUGGGUUGUAAACUUCUUUUGUACGGGAAAAAACCACCGGUCGUGUAUCGGUGCUGAUGGUACCGUAAGAAUAAGCAUCGGCUAACUCCGUGCCAGCAGCCGCGGUAAUACGGAGGAUGCAAGCGUUAUCCGGAUUCAUUGGGUUUAAAGGGUGCGCAGGCGGAGUGAUAAGUCAGUGGUGAAAGCCUACAGCUUAACUGUAGAACUGCCAUUGAUACUGUCAUUCUUGAGUAUUGUUGAGGUAGGCGGAAUGUGUCAUGUAGCGGUGAAAUGCUUAGAUAUGACACAGAACACCGAUCGCGAAGGCAGCUUACCAAGCAAUAACUGACGCUCAUGCACGAAAGCGUGGGGAUCAAACAGGAUUAGAUACCCUGGUAGUCCACGCCGUAAACGAUGAUCACUCGAUGUUGGCGAUACACAGUCAGCGUCUUAGGGAAACUAUUAAGUGAUCCACCUGGGGAGUACGGUCGCAAGAUUGAAACUCAAAG